RNAcentral lists this ribosomal RNA (451 nucleotides) under uncultured bacterium. RNAcentral's name for it is "partial 16S ribosomal RNA". It matches the Rfam family "Bacterial small subunit ribosomal RNA", at positions 29 to 523 of the family's 1533-position model. The record is from RNAcentral.
AACGAACGCUGGCGGCAGGCUUAACACAUGCAAGUCGAACGGGCAUAGCAAUAUGUCAGUGGCAGACGGGUGAGUAACACGUGGGAACCUUCCUAGAGGUACGGAACAACGCAGGGAAACUUGUGCUAAUACCGUAUACGCUGGAGACAGGAAAGAUUUAUCGCCUUUAGACGGGCCCGCGUAGGAUUAGGUAGUUGGUGAGGUAAUGGCUCACCAAGCCUACGAUCCUUAGCUGAUCAGAGAGGAUGAUCAGCCACGCUGGAACUGAGACACGGUCCAGACUCCUACGGGAGGCAGCAGUGGGGAAUCUUGGACAAUGGGCGCAAGCAUGAUCCAGCCAUGCCGCGUGAGUGAAGAAGGCCUUCGGGUUGUAAAGCUCUUUUACCAGGGACGAUAAUGACGGUACCUGGAGAAUAAGCCCCGGCUAACUUCGUGCCAGCAGCCGCCGUAA